Molecule: ribosomal RNA, 253 nt
Filed under: uncultured bacterium
Lineage: Bacteria
Description: partial 16S ribosomal RNA
Rfam family: Bacterial small subunit ribosomal RNA
Source: RNAcentral
UACGAAGGGGGCUAGCGUUGUUCGGAAUUACUGGGCGUAAAGCGCACGUAGGCGGACUAUUAAGUCAGGGGUGAAAUCCCGGGGCUCAACCCCGGAACUGCCUUUGAUACUGGUAGUCUCGAGUCCGGAAGAGGUGAGUGGAAUUCCGAGUGUAGAGGUGAAAUUCGUAGAUAUUCGGAGGAACACCAGUGGCGAAGGCGGUGCUCUGGGCCGGAACUGACGCUGAGGAGCGAAAGCGUGGGGAGCAAACAGG